GACGAGCGCUGGCGGCGUGCUUAACACAUGCAAGUCGAACGGAAAGGCCCUGCUUUUGUGGGGUACUCGAGUGGCGAACGGGUGAGUAACACGUGAGUAACCUGCCCUUGACUUUGGGAUAACUUCAGGAAACUGGGGCUAAUACCGGAUAGGAGCUCCUGCUGCAUGGUGGGGGUUGGAAAGUUUCGGCGGUUGGGGAUGGACUCGCGGCUUAUCAGCUUGUUGGUGGGGUAGUGGCUUACCAAGGCUUUGACGGGUAGCCGGCCUGAGAGGGUGACCGGCCACAUUGGGACUGAGAUACGGCCCAGACUCCUACGGGAGGCAGCAGUGGGGAAUAUUGCACAAUGGGUGGAAGCCUGAUGCAGCAACGCCGUGUGCGGGAUGACGGCCUUCGGGUUGUAAACCGCUUUCGCUCAUGACGAAGCUUUGUGUGACGGUAGUGGGUAAAGAAGCACCGGCUAACUACGUG
This 469-nucleotide ribosomal RNA is filed under the name uncultured bacterium. RNAcentral's name for it is "partial 16S ribosomal RNA". It matches the Rfam family "Bacterial small subunit ribosomal RNA", at positions 28 to 507 of the family's 1533-position model. The record is from RNAcentral.